UUUAAUAGGGGCAGCUGGCAUGGGGGUUGGGGGGGGGGAUUGCUGUCCCUGUGGGCUGAUGAAAAGGUUCUGGAACGCUAUGGGCAUCGGUUGCCCAGCACUGUGAACGCCCUAAAUGCUACUGAAGUGUUCACUUUAAAAUGGUUAAGAUGCGGGGCUCCUGGGGGGCUCAGUCGGUUGAGCCUCCGACUCCGGCUCAGGUCAUGAUCUCACGGUUCGUGGGUUCGAGCCCCGCGUCGGGCUCUGGGCUGACAGCUCAGAGCCUGGAUGGAGCCUGCUUCGGAUUCUGUGUCUCCCUCUCUCGCUGCCCCACCCCCAUUUGUGCCCCCAUUUGUGCGUGUGCUCUCUCUCUCUCUCUCUCUCUCAGAAAUAAUAAAUAAACGUUAAAAAAAAUUAAAACGGUUAGCAUAGCACGGAGACCUCCCUGCACGCCCCCCACCUGCUCCGUCUGCCCGUGAGGGUCCCGGGCUGCCCCCAGCCCCCUCAGGUCACGGUCACUGGGGUGCAUCACUCCCUUUGUGCCAGUAACUCCAGGCAUGAUUCUGACGCCCCGAGGUCACCAGCGACACCACCAGCCGAAGCGGCCUGACCUCACAGAGCAAAGCCUCAUCCCUUCCUAAUCCCGGCCACUCCCCGCCCGCCCCGCUCACCGGCUCCCCUCCGGUCCUCUCUGACGCUCAGCUUCGGGGGUGCCGGAGGUGAGCCCUCUCCCUCCGCCCGGCUGCAUUCAGGGUCCCCGUCACUCGGGGAAAAACCAAAGGUCUGUGUUGAAAAUGGCACGUCCGCUGAGCAAAAUUCAAGUCGUGAGCCCUGGCUCCCACCUGCCUCCUCAGCGCAGCCCGGUGCCCCCGCCGGGGCCCGUGGUUCCUGCCCCGUUCCGUGCUCCUCCCCGAGCAGAGGGUCCCUGUCGCCUGGGAAGGUGGUGGCUCUGAGGGCAGGACGUGGGUCCCGCGCCGCAGCCGGCUCCGGGAAAGAGCAUCUGCAGGGGAACAGCAGGGACCCCCACCGCCCGGCACGGACUGAUGAUGCUCAGCUCCUGCCACACCGCUUCCCACCGCCCCGCGGGGCAGGUGCCUGCGACCCGAGGUACAGAUGGCGACCGGGCAGACAGUGGUGGCGAGGGCAGGUGUGGUGGCCCCUCGGCACCACUGUCUGCCGAGGACCUCGGUACGUCCAGUGCCGACACACCCUCCCUCUCCUGCCCCGACUGGACCACUCGCCCCCGGGUCCCUCCUGUAGCCCCACGAACCUCCGCCCGGCGGCUGAGUCCCUCGGAUGAUCUCCAUCCCGGUCCUUCUGCCCAGACACUGAAUGAGACGACUUUCCCACCUUCCGGGGGCCUGGCCCGUGACUCGCAGGCCUCCUGGCUAAACGGUUGCCUGAGGGGAAAACAGGACCACAGGGCCUUGCUGAGAACUCCCUGCCAUCCGUCAGGACGCCACCGAGGCUGAGUUCUCUGAGAUGCAAACCCUUCGGCACCGGCCUCUCCUGUCUUUCCAGGAUUCCGGGGCCUUAGGGGCCCUCGGAGUUACAACCUUCGCGCAGGACCAGAUGGUAACCAGUCUAGGCUCCGAGAGCCGGGUGGGGUGUGUCGUGAGCGGUCACCUCUGCCACAGACAGCUGGGGGAUGAACGGGUGUGGCUGUGUUCCCAUCAAACAUUCCUUGAGAAAACAGGCCGAGGACAGGGUGUGGCCGGGAGGCCGUGUUGCUGACCCCUGGCUUCGAGAAAGGCCGAAGGGAAGACGUUCACCGGCUCCGUUUCUUUUCUUCCUGAGUUCAGGACACCGUCACGGCCCCUGGGGGCUCAGGAACUGCUCAUUCAGAAGCAUCUGUGACCUCCCACGCCAGCUGGUUCCCCUUUUCCAACUAGGACGAUUAAAAAAAACCCAAGAACUAUUUUCGAGGCCCUUGCAGACGGCCAUUGGCAGAGUGCCAGCCGCGGCUGGGGCUGCGACGGCAGGGUCCUCUCUGAACCAGCCGGAUGGUGCCUUCUACCCGGGAGAGCAAAUUCCAAGGGACUUCUGGGGUUAAAGCUCCAAGCCUCCGAUGCAAGAAUGCUGCCUCCCCAGGCCGACUGGAGUGCCUCCAAGCAGGCCGUCAACCGAUUGGCUGAUGCCCACCUGGUCUGCCUGACUGGAUUCAAAUGCUAAUCUCUUCAGGAAACAGCCUCACAGACACGCCCAGAAAUAGCUCACCAGCUACCUGGGCAUCCUCUACCCCAGUCAGGCAGACACAUAAAAUUACCCAUCACAGGAUGCUUGGGGUGAGGUCAUGGAGGGUAUGGAGGCUUGGACAUCAAGUGAGCCCCAUUUGCUGCAUUGGAUGUGCAAGAGACCUAACGCCAGUGGGGUAUUUCUUGCUUUUUAAAAAAUAGUUUAUUUA
Molecule: long non-coding RNA, 2383 nt
Organism: Neofelis nebulosa (Clouded leopard)
Lineage: Eukaryota; Metazoa; Chordata; Mammalia; Carnivora; Felidae
Exons: 3
Source: RefSeq, a predicted model, not a curated record